GCCUCCAUAGCUUAGUCGGCAAAGCAGCGGACUCUUAAUCCGUGGACCCAAGUUCGAUUCUUGGUGGGGGCACAA
Molecule: transfer RNA, 75 nt
Filed under: Candidatus Staskawiczbacteria bacterium RIFCSPHIGHO2_02_FULL_33_16
Lineage: Bacteria; Candidatus Staskawicziibacteriota
Also listed under: 1 other name
Description: tRNA-Lys
Rfam family: tRNA
About the family: Transfer RNA (tRNA) molecules are approximately 80 nucleotides in length.
Source: RNAcentral